This 293-nucleotide long non-coding RNA is filed under the name Selaginella moellendorffii. Its description in RNAcentral is "long non-coding RNA (SMOE_LNC002288)". The record is from RNAcentral. Lineage: Eukaryota; Viridiplantae; Streptophyta; Lycopodiopsida; Selaginellales; Selaginellaceae.
UCCACCAUAUAUUCCGAAAUGAGAGUUUGCAAUGUUGUGAAAGGUAACACCGUGUCACUAUCAUGUCUCAGCAAAGCUCCAUCGAGUUUCUUUUCCUCUUUCAUGAGCUCAGAAAUCGUGGUGGAGGCAAAUGUUUGCAGAUCUGCAAGGGACGGGGCUUGCUCGCUUGGGCUAUCAUCAGCUGUGCAAGUUCUACAUUGGCAGCAACGACAGUCGUAAAAUCUACAGCGAUUACCUGAGGAUGCACUGGCACAGACAAUCUCUUUCUUUAUCCCAAUGAAGGUGAUGUUGCU